This 284-nucleotide ribosomal RNA is filed under the name uncultured Oscillospiraceae bacterium. RNAcentral describes it as "partial 16S ribosomal RNA". It matches the Rfam family "Bacterial small subunit ribosomal RNA", at positions 355 to 651 of the family's 1533-position model. Lineage: Bacteria; Bacillati; Bacillota; Clostridia; Eubacteriales; Oscillospiraceae. The record is from RNAcentral.
UGGGGAAUAUUGGGGCAAUGGGGGGAAACCCUGACCCAGCAACGCCGCGUGAAGGAAGAAGGCUUUCGGGUUGUAAACUUCUUUUACCAGGGACGAAGAAAGUGACGGUACCUGGAGAAAAAGCCACGGCUAACUACGUGCCAGCAGCCGCGGUAAUACGUAGGUGGCAAGCGUUGUCCGGAUUUACUGGGUGUAAAGGGCGUGUAGGCGGAGGUGCAAGUCAGAAGUGAAAUCCACGGGCUUAACUCGUGAACUGCUUUUGAAACUGUACCCCUUGAGUACGU